GACGAACGCUGGCGGCGUGCCUAAUACAUGCAAGUAGAACGCUGAAGGAGGAGCUUGCUUCUCUGGAUGAGUUGCGAACGGGUGAGUAACGCGUAGGUAACCUGCCUGGUAGCGGGGGAUAACUAUUGGAAACGAUAGCUAAUACCGCAUAAUAGCAGUUGUUGCAUGACAACUGUUUGAAAGGUGCAAUUGCACCACUACCAGAUGGACCUGCGUUGUAUUAGCUAGUUGGUGGGGUAACGGCUCACCAAGGCGACGAUACAUAGCCGACCUGAGAGGGUGAUCGGCCACACUGGGACUGAGACACGGCCCAGACUCCUACGGGAGGCAGCAGUAGGGAAUCUUCGGCAAUGGACGGAAGUCUGACCGAGCAACGCCGCGUGAGUGAAGAAGGGUUUCGGAUCGUAAAGCUCUGUUGUAAGAGAAGAACGAGUGUGAGAGUGGAAAGUUCACACUGUGACGGUAGCUUACCAGAAAGAGACGGCUAACUACGUG
RNAcentral lists this ribosomal RNA (495 nucleotides) under uncultured bacterium. RNAcentral's name for it is "partial 16S ribosomal RNA". It matches the Rfam family "Bacterial small subunit ribosomal RNA", at positions 28 to 507 of the family's 1533-position model. The record is from RNAcentral.